Molecule: non-coding RNA, 115 nt
Organism: Ilex paraguariensis (yerba mate)
Lineage: Eukaryota; Viridiplantae; Streptophyta; Magnoliopsida; Aquifoliales; Aquifoliaceae
Source: the annotation of a GenBank genome assembly
GCAUUCAUUCCAGCACUAAUGCACCAGAUCCUAUCAAAACUCCUUUGUUAAGGGUGCUUGGGCUAGAGUAGUACUAGGAUGAUUGACCCCCUAGGAAGUCCUCGUGUUGCACCCC